RNAcentral lists this unclassified non-coding RNA (400 nucleotides) under uncultured fungus. RNAcentral's name for it is "sequence contains ITS1". The stretch from base 1 to 105 matches the Rfam family "5.8S ribosomal RNA", at positions 50 to 154 of the family's 154-position model. Lineage: Eukaryota; Fungi. The record is from RNAcentral.
GAAAUGCGAAAUGUCGUGUGACCUGCAUGCUUCGUGAGUCAUCAAAUCUUUGAACGCACCUUGCACCUAGCGGCUAUGCCACUAGGUAUACUUGUUUGAGUAUCAUGAAAUCGUCGAGACUAAGCGAGUAAAAUCGGUUAGCUCUCGGACCUGGGGCGUCUGGAAGAACGGGUGUGCCGGAAGGCACACACACCUACGCCAGUCCCCUUAAAGGUAGGCCGGCUACGGCCAGCAGCUGAUGGAGCAACGUAGCAUCUGGUGUGUGACCAGGUCACACAUCUAGGUCACGUCGUCAGCUGGUGGACUCGGUCCGGCAGACUGUCGGGUGGGAAGCCAUUCCCCCCGCCACAUGUGAGAGUGGGCUCGCGCCCACUCUCUCACACACCAAUGAUCUCAAAUC